UGUGUCAGACCGUUUACUAAACACCAGGACUGUUGUAGGCGACUGUAAGAAAUAAGAAUAUUGCAUGGUUACAAUUCUUGAAUGCUUACCUUGUGUCUUGUUCCUUACUCUACAGAAAUUUUCUAAUCCCGUGGCGAACCCCCGUACUUCAACGUAUGACAUUCUGUAAAUCUACAAAACAGAUGGGUCCCUGCCUUUGAGAAGUUUUUACAAUUUAGUGGGUACUGGACACGGACCUAAUUUAAUUCUCACAUGCCUUCCCUUUCUAAUAAGCUGCAUGUUAUGUAUCCCUAUUCUACAGAUGUGGGGAAUCCGAAAUUUUUAGCUUUUACUGGGACACACAGCUAGCAAGCAACUAAAGCGAGAAUUCCAACCUGAGCUCCAAUCCGAACUAUUUUCAUAAAAGGCAGGAUCCCAGGCUGAGGGAGUUCGAGGUUUGGGAGACAGUUUAGCAGUCGCUGAGUCCAAACAUGUUGUUUUCCUAGAAAAGAAAACUGAGAUCCAGGAAAGGGAAGUGAUUUUCCAAAGACACACCUGUGAAAGGUGAGGAGAACAGCCCAGUGAGGCUGAGGCCACACAAUUAACCCCAGUCUUUGCACUACAACUCUACCAGGGAUCCUGGUUUGGCUCAUUUUCUUUCUUCUGCACCAUGAUUGUUCACCUUUUCAUUACCAGCAACAUACCCAAAGACCUAGCUAUAGACUCGUUGGAAUCUGUUACUUAGCAGCUGUGUGAAUCAAGUGUUCAAUAGGAAUAAUAAGAUGUAUUCAUCUUACCUUUUCAGAACAUUAUGAAGAACAAAUGUGGUAAGACAUAUGAAAAUGCUUUGUAAAGUGUUAGAUGCUUAAUACACAGAAGACAUUGCUUCCAGAUCUGUUUCAACGUACCCCAAGAAUGGAAUAAGUGGAAUAUGCUGGUUUCAUGCACUGUGGCAAGGGGGUCUCAUCUUGGCUAGACUUGAAUAAGUGGAUUUGUUGCCUGGCCUCUGUGGAUGGCUCUUUCUCUGGGCUUUUGUGUAUUUGAUUUUUUAUUUGCUCCAGCAGCCGUGUUGAACCAUGAAAGGACCUCAGGAAUGAAACCCACACACAGCAAAGCAACAAAGUGAAAGAAGCGUGGAUUCCUAAUGCAGGAGGCACUGAACCAAUCAAUACCCACUGCCCUCCAGACCUCCACAUGAAAGAAAAAAACUGCUGUCCUGUGAAGAAGACACUCCCCAGAUGCCAGCAACUUGAUAUUGGACUUCCUGCCUUUAGAAACGUGAGAAAUAAAUUUUUUUUCUUUAUAAGUUA
RNAcentral lists this long non-coding RNA (1289 nucleotides) under Homo sapiens (human). RNAcentral describes it as "HSALNT0292612". Lineage: Eukaryota; Metazoa; Chordata; Mammalia; Primates; Hominidae. The record is from RNAcentral.